Zea mays is the source of this 193-nucleotide non-coding RNA. NCBI's taxonomy places the organism in Eukaryota, Viridiplantae, Streptophyta, Magnoliopsida, Poales, Poaceae. The record is from Rfam.
AUACCUUUCUCAACCUGUUGGCUAAGAUAAUGUGUAGUAUAUGCAAUUUAAUAUCUGGUAUUUGGGCCAUAUGUCCACUUUAAUUUUAAAUUUAUUUUUUCUGGGGAGGGUCCAUCAAACUGGCUUGCCACUGGACCCUCGGGUGUCGUACAACUAUUGCACUAUACCAUCAAAUAUGAUUGGUAUACCGCCG